RNAcentral lists this ribosomal RNA (978 nucleotides) under Psychrobacter sp. YACS-32. RNAcentral's name for it is "bacterial SSU rRNA". It matches the Rfam family "Bacterial small subunit ribosomal RNA", at positions 354 to 1326 of the family's 1533-position model. Lineage: Bacteria; Pseudomonadati; Pseudomonadota; Gammaproteobacteria; Moraxellales; Moraxellaceae. The record is from RNAcentral.
GCGAGUGGCCAUGGCAUGGGGGAACCCUGAUCCAGCCAUGCCGCGUGUGUGAAGAAGGCCUUUUGGUUGUAAAGCACUUUAAGCAGUGAAGAAGACUCUUCGGUUAAUACCCGGAGACGAUGACAUUAGCUGCAGAAUAAGCACCGGCUAACUCUGUGCCAGCAGCCGCGGUAAUACAGAGGGUGCAAGCGUUAAUCGGAAUUACUGGGCGUAAAGCGAGCGUAGGUGGCUUGAUAAGUCAGAUGUGAAAUCCCCGGGCUUAACCUGGGAACUGCAUCUGAUACUGUCAGGCUAGAGUAGGUGAGAGGAAGGUAGAAUUCCAGGUGUAGCGGUGAAAUGCGUAGAGAUCUGGAGGAAUACCGAUGGCGAAGGCAGCCUUCUGGCAUCAUACUGACACUGAGGCUCGAAAGCGUGGGUAGCAAACAGGAUUAGAUACCCUGGUAGUCCACGCCGUAAACGAUGUCUACUAGUCGUUGGGUCCCUUGAGGACUUAGUGACGCAGCUAACGCAAUAAGUAGACCGCCUGGGGAGUACGGCCGCAAGGUUAAAACUCAAAUGAAUUGACGGGGGCCCGCACAAGCGGUGGAGCAUGUGGUUUAAUUCGAUGCAACGCGAAGAACCUUACCUGGUCUUGACAUAUCUAGAAUCCUGCAGAGAUGCGGGAGUGCCUUCGGGAAUUAGAAUACAGGUGCUGCAUGGCUGUCGUCAGCUCGUGUCGUGAGAUGUUGGGUUAAGUCCCGCAACGAGCGCAACCCUUGUCCUUAGUUACCAGCGGGUUAAGCCGGGAACUCUAAAGGAUACUGCCAGUGACAAACUGGAGGAAGGCGGGGACGACGUCAAGUCAUCAUGGCCCUUACGACCAGGGCUACACACGUGCUACAAUGGUAGGUACAGAGGGCAGCUACACAGCGAUGUGAUGCGAAUCUCAAAAAGCCUAUCGUAGUCCAGAUUGGAGUCUGCAACUCGACUCCAUGAAGU